AUAUUUUAUAUAUUAUUAAAUAAAAUUGAUAUAUUUUCACUAUAAAUAUUGUUUUAUUUAUUAAUUACAUUAGUAUGACAAAUAAAAAAAUAAUAAUACUCACAGUAUCAUGUGGGAUUUAAAGCUUGUUUUACUGUCUAUAUCUCCACAAGAAUAGUCUAAUCCUGAUAUUCCUCCUGUUACCUUAUAUUGAUUGUACCAUCUAUCUCUUGGUCCAGUAACUUCUACUGCCUCAUAUCUAUUUCUUCUAGUAUCUUCUAGUAGCUUCAUUCUUAGGUUGAUCUGCUAUCAAUAUUCCUUUAUUUCUUUUUUCUUCCUUUACUAUAUCUUUUUCUGGAGGAACUACUUUUCUCUUAAUGCCCUUAAACUUUGAGGAUCCCAUUCUGCAAAUCCUUCAGGCAGAAUUCCUGUUGAUCUUGGAUUUCUAUCUAGUUCUUUUUAAAAGUCUACUCUCAUUUCUAACUAUUCUCAUUUCUAACUGUCUCAUAUCAUUAUAAAUACUUCUUUUUAAUUCUCUAUGAUAACAAUCCAUAUUAUUUUGAAUUUUUAAAACUGUAUCUUUUAGUUCCUGUAUCGUUUCAGCUGUAUUAUCUACUUUACGUGUCAUUACACUAUCUUUUUGUACUGAGGUUCUUCACUAUCGCUCAUUUUUUAGUAACACUAGGAGUUGUUACAUAAUUUAUUCCAAAUUUACCUCCUAUUUCUUUUAACAUUUCUUUUAUUUCUCUUCGUUCUUUUUGAACUUCAGUACAUCCUGGCCUAAUAUCUGUAAAUAUUUCAUAUUUUUCUAAUUUAUCUAAUCUUUUUUCUUUUAUUUUUUCUUUAAUUUUAUCAUUCAUAUCUUCCUAAAUUCUGAUACCAAAUCAGGUCCCUCGCAGUUUAGCAAAAUACUUUGGGAUUAAGAUUAAUAUUUCUAUCAAAAACAUGCCUCUCUCUUCUAAUCUACUCUUUAAAUUAUUGUCAAAAUGAUGAUUUAAUAGCAUAUUAUUUAAUCUGUUUAUUUCUCUAUUAAAUUCUUCAGUAUAAUCAUUAACAUUAUCUGUUUUAGAAUCAAUAUAACUUAUAUCGUUUACUAAUUUUAAUGCUACCCAACAAGAACUCAUUCUAUCAAAAUAGACUUUCCUUUUUAAUAGCUAUAUACUUCCCUUGUAAAUUCCUAAGAUAUUUAAUAUUUCUCGACAAGAUAUUAGCCCAACAUGCUUCCGCAAAAUAUCAAGUUACUCUAGCCUUCAUACCUCAAUCCUGGAACAACGGCGACACCAAAUCAAGCCUUCAAACUGGACUCCAGAGGCUUCACUGCUGAUUGACCUAACUAGAACAAAUCUUGGAGGGUUAUUGGGAUAAUAUGAAGCUUAGAAAUAAAAUAUCUUAAGAUCUACUGAAAGAACAACGCUAGUUAAAGGAAAAUCCUUUUCUUUAUUUAGAGGCAUGGUAGAGAAAAUGUUUACAAAGAGAAGAGAGUGGCAAGCCAUCGAUGCCCAAAU
RNAcentral lists this unclassified non-coding RNA (1484 nucleotides) under Hevea brasiliensis (rubber tree). The record is from RNAcentral. Lineage: Eukaryota; Viridiplantae; Streptophyta; Magnoliopsida; Malpighiales; Euphorbiaceae.